GGCCCGUUCGUUCGUUCUAUUCUGAUAUUCAGGACCAAGAGCUAUUGGAUUCUCUUUCGGAUAGGCCCUGAAAGGAGAAGAAAGGCUGAAAUGCCAACGGACCUUUGUCUAUUCUCUAAUUCACCCGAUCCGAUAGUACUCGUUUUUGCAACGUCCAAUGAUGAAGUCACUGAAUGGGUAAGUCACGAAUCCAAUACCAUGAUAAAUAAAAACAUGAGAAAAAUAGAUUUAGAUUUAUGA
This 240-nucleotide ribosomal RNA is filed under the name Triticum aestivum (bread wheat). RNAcentral describes it as "partial small subunit ribosomal RNA". Lineage: Eukaryota; Viridiplantae; Streptophyta; Magnoliopsida; Poales; Poaceae. The record is from RNAcentral.